RNAcentral lists this ribosomal RNA (2217 nucleotides) under Klebsiella pneumoniae. Its description in RNAcentral is "bacterial LSU rRNA". It matches the Rfam family "Bacterial large subunit ribosomal RNA", at positions 1 to 2236 of the family's 2925-position model. Lineage: Bacteria; Pseudomonadati; Pseudomonadota; Gammaproteobacteria; Enterobacterales; Enterobacteriaceae. The record is from RNAcentral.
GGGUUGUGAGGUUAAGCGACUAAGCGUACACGGUGGAUGCCCUGGCAGUCAGAGGCGAUGAAGGACGUGCUAAUCUGCGAAAAGCGUCGGUAAGGUGAUAUGAACCGUUAUAACCGGCGAUGUCCGAAUGGGGAAACCCAGUGCAAUUCGUUGCACUAUCGUUAACUGAAUACAUAGGUUAACGAGGCGAACCGGGGGAACUGAAACAUCUAAGUACCCCGAGGAAAAGAAAUCAACCGAGAUUCCCCCAGUAGCGGCGAGCGAACGGGGAGCAGCCCAGAGUCUGAAUCAGCUUGUGUGUUAGUGGAACGGUCUGGAAAGUCCGACGGUACAGGGUGAUAGUCCCGUACACCAAAAUGCACAGGCUGUGAACUCGAAGAGUAGGGCGGGACACGUGGUAUCCUGUCUGAAUAUGGGGGGACCAUCCUCCAAGGCUAAAUACUCCUGACUGACCGAUAGUGAACCAGUACCGUGAGGGAAAGGCGAAAAGAACCCCGGCGAGGGGAGUGAAAAAGAACCUGAAACCGUGUACGUACAAGCAGUGGGAGCACCUUCGGGUGUGACUGCGUACCUUUUGUAUAAUGGGUCAGCGACUUAUAUUCUGUAGCAAGGUUAACCGUAUAGGGGAGCCGCAGGGAAACCGAGUCUUAACUGGGCGUUAAGUUGCAGGGUAUAGACCCGAAACCCGGUGAUCUAGCCAUGGGCAGGUUGAAGGUUGGGUAACACUAACUGGAGGACCGAACCGACUAAUGUUGAAAAAUUAGCGGAUGACUUGUGGCUGGGGGUGAAAGGCCAAUCAAACCGGGAGAUAGCUGGUUCUCCCCGAAAGCUAUUUAGGUAGCGCCUCGUGAAUUCAUCUUCGGGGGUAGAGCACUGUUUCGGCUAGGGGGUCAUCCCGACUUACCAACCCGAUGCAAACUACGAAUACCGAAGAAUGUUAUCACGGGAGACACACGGCGGGUGCUAACGUCCGUCGUGAAGAGGGAAACAACCCAGACCGCCAGCUAAGGUCCCAAAGUCAUGGUUAAGUGGGAAACGAUGUGGGAAGGCACAGACAGCCAGGAUGUUGGCUUAGAAGCAGCCAUCAUUUAAAGAAAGCGUAAUAGCUCACUGGUCGAGUCGGCCUGCGCGGAAGAUGUAACGGGGCUAAACCAUGCACCGAAGCUGCGGCAGCGACACUAUGUGUUGUUGGGUAGGGGAGCGUUCUGUAAGCCUGCGAAGGUGACCUGUGAGGGUUGCUGGAGGUAUCAGAAGUGCGAAUGCUGACAUAAGUAACGAUAAAGCGGGUGAAAAGCCCGCUCGCCGGAAGACCAAGGGUUCCUGUCCAACGUUAAUCGGGGCAGGGUGAGUCGACCCCUAAGGCGAGGCCGAAAGGCGUAGUCGAUGGGAAACAGGUUAAUAUUCCUGUACUUGGUGUUACUGCGAAGGGGGGACGGAGAAGGCUAUGUUAGCCGGGCGACGGUUGUCCCGGUUUAAGCAUGUAGGCUGGUUGUCCAGGCAAAUCCGGAUAAUCAAGGCUGAGGUGUGAUGACGAGGCACUACGGUGCUGAAGUAACAAAUGCCCUGCUUCCAGGAAAAGCCUCUAAGCAUCAGGUAACAUCAAAUCGUACCCCAAACCGACACAGGUGGUCAGGUAGAGAAUACCAAGGCGCUUGAGAGAACUCGGGUGAAGGAACUAGGCAAAAUGGUGCCGUAACUUCGGGAGAAGGCACGCUGGUGUGUAGGUGAAGUCCCUGCGGAUGGAGCUGAGACCAGUCGAAGAUACCAGCUGGCUGCAACUGUUUAUUAAAAACACAGCACUGUGCAAACACGAAAGUGGACGUAUACGGUGUGACGCCUGCCCGGUGCCGGAAGGUUAAUUGAUGGGGUUAUCCGUAAGGAGAAGCUCUUGAUCGAAGCCCCGGUAAACGGCGGCCGUAACUAUAACGGUCCUAAGGUAGCGAAAUUCCUUGUCGGGUAAGUUCCGACCUGCACGAAUGGCGUAAUGAUGGCCAGGCUGUCUCCACCCGAGACUCAGUGAAAUUGAACUCGCUGUGAAGAUGCAGUGUACCCGCGGCAAGACGGAAAGACCCCGUGAACCUUUACUAUAGCUUGACACUGAACAUUGAGCCUUGAUGUGUAGGAUAGGUGGGAGGCUUUGAAGCGUGGACGCCAGUCUGCGUGGAGCCAACCUUGAAAUACCACCCUUUAAUGUUUGAUGUUCUAACGUUGGCCCCU